CGCGUAGGCGGUUUUGCAAGCCAGAGGUGAAAUGCCCGAGCUCAACUCAGGAAUGGCCUUUGGGACUGCGAGGCUUUGAGGACUGGAGAGGUGAGUGGAAUUCCCAGUGUAGAGGUGAAAUUCGUAGAUAUUGGGAAGAACACCGGUGGCGAAGGCGGCUCACUGGCCAGUUUCUGACGCUGUAGCGCGAAAGCGUGGGAUCAAACA
Molecule: ribosomal RNA, 207 nt
Filed under: uncultured bacterium
Lineage: Bacteria
Description: partial 16S ribosomal RNA
Rfam family: Bacterial small subunit ribosomal RNA
Source: RNAcentral